AUUGAACGCUGGCGGAAUGCUUUACACAUGCAAGUCGAACGGUAGAGGGGGGCAACCCCUUGAGAGUGGCGAACGGGUGAGUAAUAUAUCGGAACGUGCCCAGUCGUGGGGAUAACGUAGCGAAAGUUACGCUAAUACCGCAUACGAUCUAAGGAUGAAAGCGGGGGAUCGCAAGACCUCGCGCGAUUGGAGCGGCCGAUAUCAGAUUAGGUAGUUGGUGAGGUAAAGGCUCACCAAGCCAACGAUCUGUAGCUGGUCUGAGAGGACGACCAGCCACACUGGAACUGAGACACGGUCCAGACUCCUACGGGAGGCAGCAGUGGGGAAUUUUGGACAAUGGACGCAAGUCUGAUCCAGCCAUUCCGCGUGCAGGAUGAAGGCCCUCGGGUUGUAAACUGCUUUGUACGGAACGAAAAGGUUUGUCUUAAUACGAUGAGCUCAUGACGGUACCGUAAGAAUAAGCACCGGCUAACUACGUAGCCAGCAGCCGCGGUAAA
RNAcentral lists this ribosomal RNA (497 nucleotides) under uncultured bacterium. Its description in RNAcentral is "bacterial SSU rRNA". It matches the Rfam family "Bacterial small subunit ribosomal RNA", at positions 30 to 524 of the family's 1533-position model. The record is from RNAcentral.